Molecule: transfer RNA, 74 nt
Filed under: Brachybacterium kimchii
Lineage: Bacteria; Bacillati; Actinomycetota; Actinomycetes; Micrococcales; Dermabacteraceae
Description: Brachybacterium sp. CBA3104 tRNA-Trp
Rfam family: tRNA
About the family: Transfer RNA (tRNA) molecules are approximately 80 nucleotides in length. Their secondary structure includes four short double-helical elements and three loops (D, anti-codon, and T loops).
Source: RNAcentral
AGGCGCGUAGCUCAGAUGGCCAGAGCAGCGGUCUCCAAAACCGCCGGUCACAGGUUCGAAUCCUGUCGCGUCUG